CCUCUCCUCCUUCUCCGCAGCCGCUUUUUCGCUCCCUCUCGCCUUCCAGCGUCUCGCUCCCGGAUCAGGUUACAGCUCAUGCACGGCGGGCCGGUGCCUGCCCUGCAACUCGCUGCAAAAAGUUGUUUGCGUCUCUCUCGCUCGCAGGCCCGCCCAUCGGCCGCGCCGAGGGGCUGCCUCUAGUCGCCACACCAGCGACCCCUGGCGGCUGCUUCUCACUGUCUUCCUCGCGUCGACGACGUCUGAGCGAAUGAGGCUGGCCGAACUCGAAGCUCUCUCGAGCGCGGUUCUUCUCGUGGCGCCACGGGCGGCGUUGACCCUUUCCAACUAGAGCUCCUGUGGCUUCCUGUUUCCCAUUAUCGCCGCGUUCUCCUCAAGUGGCCUUAGCCUGCGUUGCCUGUGAAAUCCCAGAGAAGGACAAAACAGGUUUUAGGAUUAGGCUCGAAUUUUCUUAAUCCAUGUGUACUAGUGCAUGGAUUAUAUAUACUAGUAUAUCGCGUUACUGUUUGAUGCUACUACAAAGAGUAAGCUAUUAUUUGUAUACCAGUAAGAGAAGGUGGAUAAACAUGACUUGGACUCUACAUAUCUUGGCACAUGAUGCAGGAAUCUCACGGAAGCUAUCACAUAUUGGUCUGGGCAGUAUUUGGAUGGGACACUUACGGAUCUUGCCCUGAGUUCCACAGAACAGCAAAGAUUGGACUGCUUUGUGGUGAGCCAGAGACAACAGCCUUAGAUCGGCAACUCCCUCAAAAAAGCCAUUAGAAUUUGAGGAAGAGAAAGAAGAAAGGACAAAGGUGGAAUCAAAACGCAUAGAGAAAGAAGGGGAACUGAAAGAUGACAAAGUGGGAAGAUGGGGUUCAGAAAGAUAGAUUUAUUGGGAUAUUGGUUAUAUUUUCCAGUUCUUAUUGUUAACUUGUAUGUUUGUGAUGAGUAUUAUUGUGGUGUUAUGAAUACAGGAAUAA
Molecule: long non-coding RNA, 962 nt
Organism: Hemicordylus capensis (graceful crag lizard)
Lineage: Eukaryota; Metazoa; Chordata; Lepidosauria; Squamata; Cordylidae
Exons: 4
Source: RefSeq, a predicted model, not a curated record